Molecule: ribosomal RNA, 421 nt
Filed under: uncultured soil bacterium
Lineage: Bacteria
Description: bacterial SSU rRNA
Rfam family: Bacterial small subunit ribosomal RNA
Source: RNAcentral
GCUGGCGGCGUGCUUAACACAUGCAAGUCGAACGAGGCCCUCUUUUCGGAGGGGGUUCUAGUGGCGAACGGGUGAGUAACACGUGGGCAACCUGCCCCCGGCUCUGGGAUAACUCCAAGAAAUUGGGGCUAAUACCGGAUAUGUCCGCUGACCGCAUGGUCUGGUGGUGGAAAGGGUUUCCGGCUGGGGAUGGGCCCGCGGCCUAUCAGCUUGUUGGUGGGGUAGUGGCCUACCAAGGCGACGACGGGUAGCCGGCCUGAGAGGGUGACCGGCCACACUGGGACUGAGACACGGCCCAGACUCCUACGGGAGGCAGCAUUGGGGAAUAUUGCGCAAUGGGCGGAAGCUUGACGCAGCGACACCGCGUGGGGGAUGACGGCCUUCAGGUUGUAAACCUCUUUCAGCAGGGACCAAGCGGAAG